This 1132-nucleotide ribosomal RNA is filed under the name Lacticaseibacillus rhamnosus. RNAcentral's name for it is "bacterial SSU rRNA". It matches the Rfam family "Bacterial small subunit ribosomal RNA", at positions 277 to 1402 of the family's 1533-position model. The record is from RNAcentral. Lineage: Bacteria; Bacillati; Bacillota; Bacilli; Lactobacillales; Lactobacillaceae.
UGAUACGUAGCCGAACUGAGAGGUUGAUCGGCCACAUUGGGACUGAGACACGGCCCAAACUCCUACGGGAGGCAGCAGUAGGGAAUCUUCCACAAUGGACGCAAGUCUGAUGGAGCAACGCCGCGUGAGUGAAGAAGGCUUUCGGGUCGUAAAACUCUGUUGUUGGAGAAGAAUGGUCGGCAGAGUAACUGUUGUCGGCGUGACGGUAUCCAACCAGAAAGCCACGGCUAACUACGUGCCAGCAGCCGCGGUAAUACGUAGGUGGCAAGCGUUAUCCGGAUUUAUUGGGCGUAAAGCGAGCGCAGGCGGUUUUUUAAGUCUGAUGUGAAAGCCCUCGGCUUAACCGAGGAAGUGCAUCGGAAACUGGGAAACUUGAGUGCAGAAGAGGACAGUGGAACUCCAUGUGUAGCGGUGAAAUGCGUAGAUAUAUGGAAGAACACCAGUGGCGAAGGCGGCUGUCUGGUCUGUAACUGACGCUGAGGCUCGAAAGCAUGGGUAGCGAACAGGAUUAGAUACCCUGGUAGUCCAUGCCGUAAACGAUGAAUGCUAGGUGUUGGAGGGUUUCCGCCCUUCAGUGCCGCAGCUAACGCAUUAAGCAUUCCGCCUGGGGAGUACGACCGCAAGGUUGAAACUCAAAGGAAUUGACGGGGGCCCGCACAAGCGGUGGAGCAUGUGGUUUAAUUCGAAGCAACGCGAAGAACCUUACCAGGUCUUGACAUCUUUUGAUCACCUGAGAGAUCAGGUUUCCCCUUCGGGGGCAAAAUGACAGGUGGUGCAUGGUUGUCGUCAGCUCGUGUCGUGAGAUGUUGGGUUAAGUCCCGCAACGAGCGCAACCCUUAUGACUAGUUGCCAGCAUUUAGUUGGGCACUCUAGUAAGACUGCCGGUGACAAACCGGAGGAAGGUGGGGAUGACGUCAAAUCAUCAUGCCCCUUAUGACCUGGGCUACACACGUGCUACAAUGGAUGGUACAACGAGUUGCGAGACCGCGAGGUCAAGCUAAUCUCUUAAAGCCAUUCUCAGUUCGGACUGUAGGCUGCAACUCGCCUACACGAAGUCGGAAUCGCUAGUAAUCGCGGAUCAGCACGCCGCGGUGAAUACGUUCCCGGGCCUUGUACACACCGCCCGUCACAC